UGGCUUGUGUAACGGGGGCAGCUGAAGGGAGCAGUCAGCGCUCCCUCCCGUCUCCCCGCAGCGGGAGCGCCCCGCGCCGCGCCGCGAGCAGCGGGUGGAAGGUGGACGGGCGGGCGCCUCUGAGGGGCUGUGAGAGCGCGGCGCGCCUGGCUCCCGCCUUCUCCCUCCGGCACCUCGGCCUGGCGGCUCCUGUCUGUGAGUGCGCGUCUCGUUUUGCAGCUGUACACCCGUGGCCCUGAGAGGAGCUGCCAAGCUUAACUGUCAAGAGAGAGGAGCAUGUUGCCAGCGUGAGUAUAGAAAAGCUGCCCCUGCCCGGGCAGGGCCGCACCGCCCGCCCCCGCGGAACCUGUUCUCCUCGUAGGUGCUUUUCCUUCGCAGGUAAUAGCAGUUCUCCUGGCCGAGCUGUCCCAGCAAAAACACCUGGGCCAGUGUCACUGUCAUCGCACUUGGGGCAAGUUUGUCUCUUGGUGCCAAAGCUGGAGUCUCAAAGCAUCCAAUUUAGAUCUAGUUAGAUCUAGUCCUCUGGCAGUGACUUGUGUGUCAUAGGACAAUUUGGUAAUCUCUUUGCUUUAAAGCAUCAGUACAUUGGUGUCUGGGGGGCAAAUGUGGAAAACUAUUUCAUGUGUGUUCUGAUCCUCUGGAAAAUAUGCAGCAGAAUCACAAAACAUUAUGAAGUUUAUUGUGUAUCAAAAUUUUGCUCUCUGUAUUGCUCAAAGUUGAAGGCCCUAUCUUGGUGGGUUUUGUUUAUGUUUUUGUUUUUUAAAUUUUAGAUACUUUGACAGUAGGUAAAUCUGAGAAGCUAAAAACACGUAAUAUCCUCAUCAAAUAAAAUUUCUUAUAUUCAAGUCAUUACAAAAAUGGAAGUCUAGAAAUUUUCUUUGAAGUACAAUUUUGCUGCCACUUUUUAUCUCUCUGUGCUGGGAUCAGGAGCAGUGUAGUGUUGUGACUUUUCUUUACAGAUCCUCUUCCCUCCAUAAGCUUAGGUUGGUCAUACCCUUCCACUGAAGUAUCUUUCAAAUAUAGCCCAACGUUGUGUACAUACAAUGUCCAUCUAUUUAGGCCACGAUGACCUUUGUUGUUUGCAUGACUUCUGUUCCGCUAAGUUUAUCUUCUGCCCUUAUCCCACUUUUUGAGGCUACCCAGUACCAUGUCCUGUGUUUCAUUCAUCUUUUAACUUGUCUUUACAUAAUUUCACAAAUGCCUCUCAUCUUCUAGGAAACUUGUCUCAUGCAUCCAGUCCUGUCACUGUUUAAUAUACUGUCUUCACUUUUCAGUGUUACUUUUUAUCAAAAAGCUUUGUUAGUGGAACUGAUAAAUGGACACUUGGUCCAAAACAUGAGGUUUUGUUAUUGAUCCAUUAUUUCAUCAGUUUCCAACAACACUCGUGGGUGGACAUAUUCAUGGUAAAAUCACCCACACUGAUCAAAUGCUUUUGUGACAGAAGUUCCUUCUUUGUUCUGCAGUUUGAUAUCUGCUGCAUUUCAAUACUUCACAUGUUGCGGUCACGUGAUGUUCUUGGCAUUUUUAGUAUGAGUCAACUGGAAGAGUUUUCCAAGGUAGCAGGUAAUUACAACAUUAGUUCUGAUGUAUCUCAAAUGCAAAAGCCAGAGCUUAGAAGAAAACAAAGCAAACUACCAAGACUGUCACCUGUAUUAAUAAUGGCAUGUGUAGUUUCUCUGAAGACGCAAGAUCAUAUUGAGAAUUGUACUUUUGAUAUGGUUAAUGGUAUAGUUCAAACUUCUCAUUAGCUAUGUAAGAAUGUUCAUAGAAAGAAAGCCAUUUCAACUUGAGACUAUGCUAUGGAAAACUGAAGUGUCUAGGAAUAGAAAAGCAUAUUUGGUAUUAAAGCCUCGAAUCUAGUAAUUGAAAUAAGGAGACCUCAUAACAGCAAUAUUAGGUUGUGGUCCUAUGUCUGAAGUGUUAAGCAGAAGUAUCCACCUAAGCACUUCCCAGCCCAGCUGGCUGCUUUCCGCACAGGGUGCCAUGUUCUCACUUAUGCUGGUUUGUGAGACCAGCUUAUGAAAUGACUUAGAAAAUUAACAUUGGAGGACAGAUAAAAGUCAGAAGCUUUUAAUUUUUAACCUGGAUCCACUCCCUGACAAUUUUUGCAAUGCAACUCCUCAAAUACUUGAUUGGGCAAAAUAGGUUGCACUUCAAUUUCACAGUAAAUGAAAUGUCUGCUUAAUAAAAAGCAGUGAUAAAAUUGCUGAAGAGUUUAGAUUCUGAAGUCAUGCUUCACUCAAUAUUGAUUUUAGCCUGUUGAGUUUUAGGGAGUAGUUCUAAGAUGGGAAUAUUAGAAACUUGUGUGGAAUAGUUUGUCCAACUGGUAACCAUGUGAAUACAUCUAUUUUAAAUGGAGUCUAGGUUAACAAAUGAGAUGAUGCUCUGAUUUGUUUUUUCUUAGAGCAGGAAGAACCUGUAUUAUUUGCUGUUGGCACUUGGCAUACAACAACCAGCUAGUUUCUGAGAACAACAUAUCUAAUAAUUAAAUGAAAACCAUGUUGUUUAUUGUAGUCUCAGUGUAACAUUAAUAGUAGGGAGAGCAAUUUACAAGUGUUGUGAAAGGUAGCAGAAGAAUGUAAUUAAUUUAUGUAAGUUGAUGAAAGCUGUAAGAUGCAAAUUGUGUAGUAUGCGUAAGUUAAGUUUGUAAGUAGUCUGUAUGGUGCUGGUGUCCAUUCUGUAGACUUGCACUUGCCUGAUAUUUAAGUUCACAAAAAUUCAGCAAGAUUGUUCACACUUGUUUGAUGUUACUGUGGUAUUUGAAAACUUACUUGUACUAACUAGUAGAGCAAGGACAGUUCCAGGGACUGAUAUGGUGUCUUCUGUCAAAUCUGAGUUUUCUCUUAGGUUUAUCCAGCCACUUUCAGUUUAUAGUUUUAGAAUCUGGAAUAGGUUGCAGGCAGGUCAAUGAGUACUCUAUUAAUGUAGGCAUCAGUGUUAAAUGGUAAGGUUUUUUCAGUUCUGCUGAAGUCCUGUGCCGGAGUAUUUAUUUCUUGCGUGAUUUUUAACAAGAGGAAAUGAUACAUCUGAAGUUAAGCUACAUUUAAUCUUGUAUCAGUGUAUGUAUUAAGUCUUGUAUAUUGUGAUGAAUAAAGAUAUGGAUUAUUCCAAAGACAACUUUGUUAAUACAACUAAUACCAACCAAAUGGAACCUUUUCAUGUUUAGUCGCUUCGUAUGACUUGAAACACUAGCGUGGGUAAAGUGAUGUGGAUAUGCUGUCUGCCACUCAGAAAGCACACCUCCACCUCCGUGAAAUAUAUGCCAAUUAUGCCAUGAGUUUGGUCUGCGGCGUGGGACAUUUAGGUUGAAACUGGAAUGGAUGUAAAUUUUCUUUGAUCUGCAGAACAGAGAGAGAGGAAGGGCUUCCACUUCUUGGUUCUUUCCUGUUCCUGCCCUUUUCCUACCCACCUCCUGCAGGGCCCCCAUAUGACUGGGAUAUUACAGGAACUUAAGAUUGGGAAGGUGGUUGGUCAUUCUGGGCAGGAAGUUAAAUUUGAGAAUAAUGUGGUGAGAUGGUAAAGGCUAUAUAGAAAAAAAAUACUUAAAGAGCUUAGAAUGUACUGUGUUGGCUUUUAAGUACAUUGAUGCCUGAAGACUUUCUGUGCCAUUAAUGCCUUACUUCUCUUCUCUGUGGGGACAGCAGUACUUACUAUCAUCUUCAUAAACUGACAUCGUAGCCCACAAGCACUUAAUUGCUACACACAAAUCUACUUCCUGCAUUUCCUUGAUUUCUAACCAUAUUUUUUUGUCCCACAAGCUUGUUUUUCGUGUGAUUGUCAUGUCUCCUGGAUAAAAACUUCAAUCUUCAUCUAAUUCUACUUAAUACCUCAUGCCUCUCCAAAAUACAAGACAGACAUUUAUUAUUUUUUAAUAAGCACAGCUUAUAAAUUUGCAAGUCCAGAUGAAAAUGGGAAGGUACACAGGAAUUGUCAUUAUUAUACCAGAGUCAGAAGUUAUCUGGUCUCCUAUUCUGUCUGUAUAUAUAAUCAUAUACCAUAAAAUAAACUGUAAACUCCAUACAUCUGCUUUCGUAGUGGAUCAAACACGUACACACCUAAUUCUAAAAGCAGGAUAUUUGACAUCCGUUCUAGUUUCUGUCAUCAUAAUAGUUAUUCGUAUUCUGCUGGUUCAGAAAAGUCACCUAAUAUUUCAGUUAAGAGCAAACCACUGAUUGAUGGCAAGGAUUCUGUUGUAUUUUAAAUACUACUUUCAUUUGCUUUUUUCCUGCAUCCGAGUGUCCUUUUAGCUGGUAUCUGUUUUUUUGACUGCUUUACGGAAAGAUGUGUUCACUCUGCUGUUCAUAGUGAUGUUUAGAAUGCUGAUAUUCCUAUCAUGAAUCACUAUCACUGGACAAUCUGUGUAAAAUAAAUGUAGAAUUAGGUUUUUCCUCCAAAAUGCGGUACUCCGCUUUUAUUAAGUGCCAGUUAGUAUACUGUGCUUCACUUGCCCAUCUUCUCUGGACUUAGUGAGGCAGGUAUAAAAAUGGUUCCUAUUCAGCAUGUUCAUUUUUUUCCUGAAGUGAAUCAGUUUGACCUGACAGCUUCUGGAGAUGCAAAAGCUAUGUUAUAUCACUACUAAACAUUUGUUUCUAACUUACCUCAAAUAUUGUAUUGUUUUAUGUUUUGUUAGAUGCAUAAAAUAGAAGACCAGAAGUAAUCCAUGUUAAUUUUCUAUCAUACUUGAAAUAAUGUUUGCAGGAAGAAAGUGUUUCUUUUUUCAUCAAAAAGUGAGAAAGAAGUUUUUAAAUGAAGCUUGAAUUGUUAUGGUUUAUUUCUAACACUGGUAAUGUAGAAAGGAUACUAAUGUAAUACAACAAGGAUUUUAAUA
Molecule: long non-coding RNA, 4828 nt
Organism: Numida meleagris (helmeted guineafowl)
Lineage: Eukaryota; Metazoa; Chordata; Aves; Galliformes; Numididae
Exons: 2
Source: RefSeq, a predicted model, not a curated record